UACGUAGGGGGCAAGCGUUGUCCGGAUUUAUUGGGCGUAAAGAGCUCGUAGGCGGUUUGGUAAGUCUGGUGUGAAAUCUUGGAGCUUAACUCCGAAACUGCAUUCGAUACUGCCGUGCUUGAGGACUGGAGAGGAGACUGGAAUUUACGGUGUAGCGGUGAAAUGCGUAGAUAUCGUAAGGAAGACCAGUGGCGAAGGCGGGUCUCUGGACAGUUCCUGACGCUGAGGCACGAAGGUCAGGGGAGCAAACGGG
RNAcentral lists this ribosomal RNA (253 nucleotides) under uncultured bacterium. Its description in RNAcentral is "partial 16S ribosomal RNA". It matches the Rfam family "Bacterial small subunit ribosomal RNA", at positions 524 to 776 of the family's 1533-position model. The record is from RNAcentral.